Molecule: transfer RNA, 98 nt
Filed under: Hypoxylon rubiginosum
Lineage: Eukaryota; Fungi; Ascomycota; Sordariomycetes; Xylariales; Hypoxylaceae
Description: tRNA-Thr
Rfam family: tRNA
About the family: Transfer RNA (tRNA) molecules are approximately 80 nucleotides in length. Their secondary structure includes four short double-helical elements and three loops (D, anti-codon, and T loops). Further hydrogen bonds mediate the characteristic L-shaped molecular structure. tRNAs have two regions of fundamental functional importance: the anti-codon, which is responsible for specific mRNA codon recognition, and the 3' end, to which the tRNAs corresponding amino acid is attached (by aminoacyl-tRNA synthetases). tRNAs cope with the degeneracy of the genetic code in two manners: having more than one tRNA (with a specific anti-codon) for a particular amino acid; and 'wobble' base-pairing, i.e. permitting non-standard base-pairing at the 3rd anti-codon position.
Source: RNAcentral
GCCCGCUUGGCACAGCGGUAAUGCGCCUCACUAGUAUCAGAAGAUUCUACUGAGAAAAGCAAAUGAGGAGAUGACUGGUUCGACUCCAGUAGUGGGCA